AUGAGCAGGGUGUGCGUCACCGGAGCGGCCGGCUACAUCGCGGCCUGGCUCGUCCGUAAGCUUCUGCAGCGAGGCUGCGUCGUCCACGCCACCUUGAGAUCCCUCCGGGAUGAGAAGAAGACGGGGCUGCUGAAGUCGCUGCCGGGCGCGGCGGAGCGGCUGGUGCUGUUCGAGGCUGAUAUCUACGACGCCGCCACCUUCGAGCCGGCCAUCCAGGGCUGCGAGUUCGUCUUCCUCGUCGCCACCCCGCUGCUGCACGACACCAGCAGCACCAAGUACAAGAACAUAACUGAAGCGGUCGUGGACGCGACGCGCAUCAUCCUGCAGCAGUGCGAGCGGUCCAAGACGGUGCGGCGCGUCAUCCACACGGCCUCCGUCACGGCCGCCUCGCCGCUCAAGGAGGACGGCGACGGGUACAAGGACGCCAUGAACGAGUCCUGCUGGUCGCCGCUCCACCUCUCCUACGGCUACAGCAACGUCCACCUCGACGCGUACGUGUCGUCCAAGAGGCUGUCAGAGGAGGAGCUGCUGAGGCACAACGAGUCGGAGGGGGGCAGGGCGUUCGAGGUGGUGACGCUGGCGUGCGGGCUCGUCGGCGGCGACACCAUCCAGCCCAUCCUGUGGAGCAGCAUCCCCGUGGUGGUGGCGCCGCUCACCGGCAACGAGAUGCAUCACAACUCCCUCAAGUUCAUGCAGGCGCUCUGCGGCUCCGUGCCGCUGGUGCACAUCGAGGACGCCUGCGAGGCGCACCUCUUCUGCAUGGACCAGCCGUCCAUGGCUGGGCGCUUCCUCUGCGCCGUCGGGUACCCCAACAUGGAGGACUACGUCGCCCGCUUUGCCGCCCGCUACCCGGAGCACAAGAUACUGCUCAAGAAGGUGGCGGGAGAGGGAGUGAGGGUGAAGGGUGAUUCGACCAAGCUCGUGGAUCUGGGGUUCAAGUUCAAGUAUGGUGUGGAGGAGACGCUGGACUGCAGCGUGGAAUGCGCCAAGAGGAUGGGAGAGCUCUGA
RNAcentral lists this ribosomal RNA (1008 nucleotides) under Triticum aestivum (bread wheat). RNAcentral's name for it is "partial small subunit ribosomal RNA". Lineage: Eukaryota; Viridiplantae; Streptophyta; Magnoliopsida; Poales; Poaceae. The record is from RNAcentral.